GAUGAACGCUAGCUACAGGCUUAACACAUGCAAGUCGAGGGGAAACGACAGAGGAAGCUUGCUUCCUUUGGGCGUCGACCGGCGCACGGGUGAGUAACGCGUAUCCAACUUCCCGCAAGUAAGGGAUAACCCGUAGAAAUGCGGCCUAAUACCUUAUGUUUUCCUUAGAGGGCAUCUGAUGAGGAACAAAGAUCCGUCGCUUGCGGAUGGGGAUGCGACUGAUUAGCUUGUUGGCGGGGUAACGGCCCACCAAGGCUACGAUCAGUAGGGGUUCUGAGAGGAAGGUCCCCCACAUUGGAACUGAGACACGGUCCAAACUCCUACGGGAGGCAGCAGUGAGGAAUAUUGGUCAAUGGGCGGAAGCCUGAACCAGCCAAGUAGCGUGCAGGAUGACGGCCCUACGGGUUGUAAACUGCUUUUAGGCGGGGGUAAAGUGCCGGACGCGUUCCGGUAUUGCAAGUACCGCCAGAAAAAGGACCGGCUAAUUCCGUG
This 492-nucleotide ribosomal RNA is filed under the name uncultured bacterium. RNAcentral's name for it is "bacterial SSU rRNA". It matches the Rfam family "Bacterial small subunit ribosomal RNA", at positions 28 to 507 of the family's 1533-position model. The record is from RNAcentral.